UUAGAGCCUAAAACAUCGUUAAGGUUAUGGAAACAACAGUUUGUGCUGUACGUAUUUAACACUAAACUUUGAUGAUUUGUCGAAAAUCUGACGUACAAUGUAUUCUGAGGCACUGAUAUAAUCGUUUACAAACUGUCACAAGAAACUAUUGUUUAGAAGCCACUAAAAAAAUGAAAAAUAUUCGGACGUCAACUUCCGUGUACCAGCUUGCUUAGUAGCAGUCAAGGUUAUAAUGACGUCAUUGAAUUCUCGAACUGAGCCAGCUGAUAGCAUGAUCUUAGUAUUCGUCCGCCAUGAAAUGUGUUUACAUGAAUGCUGUGAAUGUAAUGUACCCAACAACAAGAAACACCACUGUGUAAUAAAGGAUGAACAUGCAUUUCUGCGUUAUUCGGGUAACCAUUGUAACAAAUAGUCAUCUUCUGUGCCGCAUGGCAUUUGGCAGUCUUUGUGACAUCAGAUAAGGGAGUUUGAAAAGCCUAACAAUACUAACUGCAAUGGGGGAAUCUCCAACUGAUAAAAGAGGUGUACAUACCGACAGACCUGAUAGAAAAUCUUUGGAAACCAUAAGUAAGAAUAUUCCAAACCCGAAGUAACAGUGAUGGGAUUGGGAGGAGAAGAAGGAGAAGGAGAAGAAGAAGAAGAAGAAGAAGGAGGAGGAACAACAAAGUGAAAGAAAAAUAAGUUCUUUUUCAUCGUAGAAAAAACAAUUGUAUACAUUAUAUUUUUUAUUUCCAAAGAUUAUGAUGUUUUAUUCAUAUAUUCAGUGCUAUAAACCAUGUUA
Molecule: long non-coding RNA, 781 nt
Organism: Schistocerca nitens (vagrant locust)
Lineage: Eukaryota; Metazoa; Arthropoda; Insecta; Orthoptera; Acrididae
Exons: 3
Source: RefSeq, a predicted model, not a curated record